RNAcentral lists this unclassified non-coding RNA (327 nucleotides) under uncultured fungus. Its description in RNAcentral is "sequence contains ITS1". The stretch from base 1 to 101 matches the Rfam family "5.8S ribosomal RNA", at positions 50 to 154 of the family's 154-position model. Lineage: Eukaryota; Fungi. The record is from RNAcentral.
GAAGUGCGAAAAGUGUCAUGACUUGCAGAUUCCCGAGAGCUGACGAAUCUCUGAACGCAAAUGGCGGACCGGUAUACCCGGCCAUGUAUUACAGAGUGUAGUUGUUCCUACUCUUCAUCCCCCACACUCGCAUCUUUGCGGUGUGGUGUUUGGUAUCUGCGCUUGCAAUCACGCAUUGCGAGUGUUGAAUCGGAGUGUCUGCUAAACUGGCGAUCCAGUUUAGUGGACGACUUCGCACUUGAGUCCUCCCGUAGGCUUCAAUUGUGAGGUUGAUUUCUCUCAUUUUCACACCUACCUCUGCGAUGCAAGAUAACCCGCUGAACUUAA